Molecule: ribosomal RNA, 253 nt
Filed under: uncultured bacterium
Lineage: Bacteria
Description: partial 16S ribosomal RNA
Rfam family: Bacterial small subunit ribosomal RNA
Source: RNAcentral
UACAGAGGGGGCGAGCGUUAUUCGGAAUUAUUGGGCGUAAAGGGCGCGUAGGCGGCUUGCUAAGUUGGAUGUGAAAACUCUGGGCUUAACCCAGAGCCUGCAUCCAAAACUAGCAGGCUAGAGUUCUGGAGGGGAUAGCGGAAUUCCCAGUGUAGCGGUGAAAUGCGUAGAUAUUGGGAGGAACACCGGUGGCGAAGGCGGCUACCUGGACCGGUACUGACGCUGCGGCGCGAAAGCUAGGGUAGCAAACAGG